RNAcentral lists this ribosomal RNA (375 nucleotides) under uncultured bacterium. RNAcentral's name for it is "bacterial SSU rRNA". It matches the Rfam family "Bacterial small subunit ribosomal RNA", at positions 527 to 898 of the family's 1533-position model. The record is from RNAcentral.
GGGGGGAGCAAGCGUUGUUCGGAUUUACUGGGCGUAAAGGGCGCGUAGGCGGCCACCGCAAGUCAGUUGUGAAAGCUCUGGGCUUAACCCAGAAAGGUCAACUGAUACUGCGGGGCUAGAGUGCAGAAGGGGCAACUGGAAUUCUCGGUGUAGCGGUGAAAUGCGUAGAUAUCGAGAGGAACACCUGCGGCGAAGGCGGGUUGCUGGGCUGACACUGACGCUGAUGCGCGAAAGCUAGGGGAGCGAACGGGAUUAGAUACCCCGGUAGUCCUAGCCUUAAACGAUGAAUGCUUGGUGUCUGGGGUUUUAUAGUCCCCGGGUGCCGUCGCUAACGCUUUAAGCAUUCCGCCUGGGGAGUACGGUCGCAAGACUGAA